UUUUGCAGAAAUUGACAGAUCCUAAAAUUAAUAUGGUAAUGCAAAACAACUAAAAUAACUAGAACAAUUUUUGAAAAGGAAAAGAAAAGUUAGUGAGUUUGGAGUUUUCAACAGAUUGGGAGAAAAUAUUUGCAAAAAUGCAUAUCUGAUCAAGGACUUGCCUCCAGAAUUUACAAAGAACUCUUAAAAAUCAAGAAGAAAGACAACCCAACCAAAACAUGGGCCACAGAUUUGAAUAGACCUUUCAUUAAACAUAUGAAUAGCUACCAAGCACAUGAAAACAUGCUCAACAUCAUCAGCUGUCGAUGAAGUGCAGAUUCAAACCACACGAUGCCAUUUCACACCUGCUGGAAUGACUGUCAUAAAUAAGACAGGUGAUAACAAGUUUUGGCGAGGAUGUGGAGACCGGGAAGCUGCCGACAUUGCUGGUUGAAAUGUGAAAUGGGCAACCACUUUGAAAGUUUGGCAGUUUCUCAAAAUUUUAAACCUCAAACUACCACAUGACUCAGCAAUUCCAUUCCUAAGAGAAAUGAAGUCAUGUCCACAAAAAGCCUUGUAUGUGAAUGUCCAAGCCUCAUGAUGCAUAAAGCCCAAACUGGGAACACCUUCACCAGCCAUCCCUUUUUGAAUGGAUAGCAAACAUAAAGACUAUCCAUAUGGUAGAAUUCUAUUUGGCAACAACAAAAGAACAAACUACAGACACAUGCUACAAUUGUAGACGGACCUCAAAAACAGCUUGCUAAGUGAAAGAAGCUACACACAGGAGAAGACCGAUUGCAUGAUUUAAAUGAAACAUCCAGGAAAAGCCAAUUGAGGGAGACGGGAAGUUUAUGGGUGAUUGCCUGGGGCUGUAGGUGGGAAUGGGGAUUAAUUAUAAUCUUACUGCAGCGAUGAAAAAUGUUCUAAAACAUUUAAAACUGAUUUAUGGUUAUAAUUGUACUCCUUGGUAAAAUUACUCAAAAUUAUUGAAUUGUGCAUCUGAAACUGCAGAAUUUGUUUCCUUAUUUUUUUUUAUUGUGGUAAAAUAUAUGUAGUACAAACCUUCCCACUUUAACCAUGUUUAACUGCAGCUUCAUGGUGUUUAGUCACAUGGUUGUCGGGUUAUCACCACCAUCCCUCUCCAACGGUUUCCUCUUCCUCAACUGAUACUCCAUGCCCAUAAACACUGGCUCUUCAUUUUCUCUGUCCUAACCCCUGGCAGCCAUCAAUCUGCUUCCUGACUAAAUGAAUUUGAGAUUCUAGGUAUGUCACAUAAAUGGGACCAUACAACAUUUGCCCUUUUGUGAGUGGCUCAUUUCAUAAUAUCUUUAAGGAUCACCCAUAUUGGAGAUUUGUCAAAAUUCCCUUCCUUUUUAAGGCUGAAUAAUAUUCCAUUGUAUGUAUAUACCCUAUUUUGUAUAUUCCUCCAUCUAGUGAUGGGCAUUGGGGUUGUUUCUACCUUUUUCUAUUGUUAAUAGUGCCGUUGUGAAUAUUGAUAUAUAAAUAUCUUGAAAUUGGUUAAUUUUAUGAUAUGUAAGAUGUACCUCCAUAUAAGCACUUUAAAUAAAAC
Molecule: long non-coding RNA, 1549 nt
Filed under: Marmota monax (woodchuck)
Lineage: Eukaryota; Metazoa; Chordata; Mammalia; Rodentia; Sciuridae
Source: RNAcentral